GACGUAGGGGGCAAGCGUUGUCCGGAAUCAUUGGGCGUAAAGCGCGUGUAGGCGGCUUGGUAAGUCCGCUCUGAAAGCCCGGGGCUCAACCCCGGGAGGCGGGUGGAUACUGUCAAGCUCGAGUCCGGAAGAGGCGAGUGGAAUUCCUGGUGUAGCGGUGAAAUGCGCAGAUAUCAGGAGGAACACCAAUGGCGAAGGCAGCUCGCUGGGACGUUACUGACGCUGAGACGCGAAAGCGUGGGGAGCAAACAGG
RNAcentral lists this ribosomal RNA (253 nucleotides) under uncultured bacterium. RNAcentral's name for it is "partial 16S ribosomal RNA". It matches the Rfam family "Bacterial small subunit ribosomal RNA", at positions 524 to 776 of the family's 1533-position model. The record is from RNAcentral.